GUGUGCCUAAUACAUGCAAGUCGAACGCGUUGGCCCAAUUGAUUGAUGGUGCUUGCACCUGAUUGAUUUUGGUCGCCAACGAGUGGCGGACGGGUGAGUAACACGUAGGUAACCUGCCCAGAAGCGGGGGACAACAUUUGGAAACAGAUGCUAAUACCGCAUAACAACGUUGUUCGCAUGAACAACGCUUAAAAGAUGGCUUCUCGCUAUCACUUCUGGAUGGACCUGCGGUGCAUUAGCUUGUUGGUGGGGUAAUGGCCUACCAAGGCGAUGAUGCAUAGCCGAGUUGAGAGACUGAUCGGCCACAAUGGGACUGAGACACGGCCCAUACUCCUACGGGAGGCAGCAGUAGGGAAUCUUCCACAAUGGGCGCAAGCCUGAUGGAGCAACACCGCGUGAGUGAAGAAGGGUUUCGGCUCGUAAAGCUCUGUUGUUAAAGAAGAACACGUAUGAGAGUAACUGUUCAUACGUUGACGGUAUUUAACCAGAAAGUCACGGCUAACUACGUGCCAGCAGCCGCGGUAAUACGUAGGUGGCAAGCGUUAUCCGGAUUUAUUGGGCGUAAAAAGAGUGCAGGCGGUUUUCUAAGUCUGAUGUGAAAGCCUUCGGCUUAACCGCGAGAAAUGGAUCGGAAAAAUGGAUUACUUGA
This 649-nucleotide ribosomal RNA is filed under the name Limosilactobacillus fermentum. RNAcentral's name for it is "bacterial SSU rRNA". It matches the Rfam family "Bacterial small subunit ribosomal RNA", at positions 42 to 645 of the family's 1533-position model. Lineage: Bacteria; Bacillati; Bacillota; Bacilli; Lactobacillales; Lactobacillaceae. The record is from RNAcentral.